Molecule: non-coding RNA, 1792 nt
Organism: Heterocephalus glaber (naked mole-rat)
Lineage: Eukaryota; Metazoa; Chordata; Mammalia; Rodentia; Bathyergidae
Source: RefSeq, a predicted model, not a curated record
GUGUGCAUGCUGUGAGCAAACUCCUCUGCCAUUCCUCUCCGCCUUGCCGUCCUGCCUGGGGGCUGCUGACUAUGGACUGAAACAUGAGCGGAAAUAAACCUCUCCCCGUGAAGUUGUGGGUGUCAGAAAACGGAAGAAAACACCAGCAAUGCACCACCAAAUGAAGCACCGGCCCACCUGGAGCCCCAAGUCAGCAGGGACAGGCUGGACACCCUGGAAGCCUGACCGAGAGGCUGGCACAGAGGAGGCCAGCAGUGCUCGUGGAAUGGGAUUCAAACCACCUAGCUUCCCUCCCCACCCUAUUAACCCAGAAGGUGGCAGGCAUUCAGGAACCAAGGGGGCCCAUGUGGGGACCCAUGGGCUUCUUCUUUUCUCCCAUGGGAAUUCAUCCCCGCCCUUUUCCUGUGUGCAUCCUGACUUCCUGGAUGUGGUCCCCCAUGUGUUCUGGGUUGAGUGAUCAAAGCCUGGGCUUUUCACUGUCCUGGCCAUGGCAGCUGUCACCCCACUGUUCCUGGCAAUGAUGAUGCUGGCCAUGCUCUGUUUCUGGGAGAGGGCUUCACCUUCCCAUGGGUGUGAAGCUCCCCACUUGGAGUCUCCACAAAGAUGUCCAGGCAUGAGUCAGUGAUGGAAAGCCCAGGUUGGCCAAGCUGCAGCAGGAGAAAAGGGCACAGUGCAAAUGAGGAUUGUGGUGCUCAUUUUACAACCUUAGUUGGUGCUCUGUGUUGGGUUAGAAGUCAUCGCUCCAAACUCCCUUUCCAACGCUCAAGAAAGCCUGGUCCUGUUGUCCUUUCUCCAGACGAAGAGCUUCAGCAAGAGGAGAGAGCCGGCCGAAAUUUGCCACCUCUGGUGGGGUUCCGUCGGGCAGAUGGUGCCACGUCGCUGUAUGACCCAGCCUCGUCAAGCUGGCGGCCGAUGAAAGUUAUCUGGCGGGCCUUCUUUUGUUGGUGAGAUUUGAAGACAGUUUGGGAUUUUUGGCUCCCCACAAAUUGGCUACACAUCUAGGACUGCAGGAAAAAAACUGAGCUAUUUAUAUAGUCUCCCUCUAUCUUGAAAGGAAUUUAUGUAUGCACUUGUGUUUUGGACAUUUCUUUAAAAAUAAUCAGCAGGCAUUAUUUUCUUUGCAAGUAGUGAGGUCUUUGGUAUAUUUUCCUUUCAUUGAUUUAAGAAUAGCUAGUUUAAUGGUUAAUUUAAUGACUAUCGAUUGACAUGGGGAAUAGGACAAUGCUUCUGAUUAUACAGGAUUUAAUGUUUUAGGGAGAGACAGAAAAUAAAAAUAGUCACUUAAGAUGGGGUGUUCUGGUUCAAAAGGGGGAGCAUGAGUCUUGGCGUCUGGGUACAAGUGCAGGCCUCACCCGGGAGCAAUUCUGCUCUGAGUCUGUGUCACGAAGAAAGCAGUCACAUGAGAGGCACAUGGACCAACAUGGCUGUGGCAGGACUGUGUGCGGGAGGCAGGAGGGAGAGUUUUGUUACUGAUAUGAAGUCAUACGUGAGCUGUGAAGGGUUCUGUGGGAUUUUAACACCCCGCUGCCCCCAUCAGUUCUCCAGCCCCAGGAGAAGCUCCCUUGGGAGGAGGGAGCCAGGCAAUGUCAACCAAACCCCUUUGAAGGUUGUAGAAAAUGAUGAGUAGACACAAAGAUGGACAUGAAUCUGGUUCUACAAACUAAGGAAGGUGCCAUGUGCUGCCAAGGAGACAAAUUUCCUCCAGUAGUGAGGAUUUCUUGGUUUGGUCAGUGUCUUAGUUACUUUUCUCUCUUUGCUGAGACAAAAUACCCAACACCUAAAGUUAAAGGAG